UACGAAGGGUGCAAACGUUGCUCGGAAUUAUUGGGCGUAAAGGGAGUGUAGGCGGUUUGGUAAGUCUUCUGUGAAAUCUACGGGCUUAGCCUGUAACGUGCAGAGGAAACUACCGAGCUUGAGUGUCGGAGAGGAUAGGGGAAUACCCAGUGUAGAGGUGAAAUUCGUAGAGAUUGGGUGGAACACCAGUGGCGAAGGCGCCUAUCUGGCUGACAACUGACGCUGAGACUCGAAAGCAUGGGGAGCAAACAGG
This 253-nucleotide ribosomal RNA is filed under the name uncultured bacterium. RNAcentral describes it as "partial 16S ribosomal RNA". It matches the Rfam family "Bacterial small subunit ribosomal RNA", at positions 524 to 776 of the family's 1533-position model. The record is from RNAcentral.